ACCGCAUCCUACAGCGCCAGCCGGGCCGCCCUCAU
This 35-nucleotide non-coding RNA is filed under the name Geotalea daltonii FRC-32. The record is from RNAcentral. Lineage: Bacteria; Pseudomonadati; Thermodesulfobacteriota; Desulfuromonadia; Geobacterales; Geobacteraceae.